AGUGGGAGCGGGCUUGCUCGCGGAUGCGGUGAGUCAGCCAGAAAUAGAGUGACUGGUCUACCGCAUUCGCGAGCAAGCCCGCUCCCACA
This 89-nucleotide non-coding RNA is filed under the name Pseudomonas sp. bs2935. The record is from RNAcentral. Lineage: Bacteria; Pseudomonadati; Pseudomonadota; Gammaproteobacteria; Pseudomonadales; Pseudomonadaceae.